RNAcentral lists this ribosomal RNA (506 nucleotides) under uncultured bacterium. RNAcentral describes it as "partial 16S ribosomal RNA". It matches the Rfam family "Bacterial small subunit ribosomal RNA", at positions 29 to 523 of the family's 1533-position model. The record is from RNAcentral.
AGUGAACGCUGGCGGUAGGCCUAACACAUGCAAGUCGAACGGCGGCACAGAGGAGCUUGCUCCUUGGGUGGCGAGUGGCGGACGGGUGAGGAAUACAUCGGAAUCUACUCUGUCGUGGGGGAUAACGUAGGGAAACUUACGCUAAUACCGCAUACGACCUACGGGUGAAAGCAGGUGAUCUUCGGACCUUGCGCGAUUGAAUGAGCCGAUGUCGGAUUAGCUAGUUGGCGGGGUAAAGGCCCACCAAGGCGACGAUCCGUAGCUGGUCUGAGAGGAUGAUCAGCCACACUGGAACUGAGACACGGUCCAGACUCCUACGGGAGGCAGCAGUGGGGAAUAUUGGACAAUGGGCGCAAGCCUGAUCCAGCCAUACCGCGUGGGUGAAGAAGGCCUUCGGGUUGUAAAGCCCUUUUGUUGGGAAAGAAAUCCAUCUGGUUAAUACCCGGGUGGGAUGACGGUACCCAAAGAAUAAGCACCGGCUAACUUCGUGCCAGCCGCCGCGGUAA